RNAcentral lists this transfer RNA (75 nucleotides) under Flavobacteriales bacterium. RNAcentral's name for it is "tRNA-Val". It matches the Rfam family "tRNA". Rfam says of the family: Transfer RNA (tRNA) molecules are approximately 80 nucleotides in length. Their secondary structure includes four short double-helical elements and three loops (D, anti-codon, and T loops). Further hydrogen bonds mediate the characteristic L-shaped molecular structure. tRNAs have two regions of fundamental functional importance: the anti-codon, which is responsible for specific mRNA codon recognition, and the 3' end, to which the tRNAs corresponding amino acid is attached (by aminoacyl-tRNA synthetases). tRNAs cope with the degeneracy of the genetic code in two manners: having more than one tRNA (with a specific anti-codon) for a particular amino acid; and 'wobble' base-pairing, i.e. permitting non-standard base-pairing at the 3rd anti-codon position. The record is from RNAcentral. Lineage: Bacteria; Pseudomonadati; Bacteroidota; Flavobacteriia; Flavobacteriales.
GGAAGCAUAGCUCAGUUGGUUCAGAGCAUCUGCCUUACAAGCAGAGGGUCGCUGGUUCGAAUCCGGCUGCUUCCA